This 870-nucleotide ribosomal RNA is filed under the name Bacillus subtilis. Its description in RNAcentral is "bacterial SSU rRNA". It matches the Rfam family "Bacterial small subunit ribosomal RNA", at positions 376 to 1240 of the family's 1533-position model. Lineage: Bacteria; Bacillati; Bacillota; Bacilli; Caryophanales; Bacillaceae. The record is from RNAcentral.
CGAAAGUCUGACGGAGCAACGCCGCGUGAGUGAUGAAGGUUUUCGGAUCGUAAAGCUCUGUUGUUAGGGAAGAACAAGUACCGUUCGAAUAGGGCGGUACCUUGACGGUACCUAACCAGAAAGCCACGGCUAACUACGUGCCAGCAGCCGCGGUAAUACGUAGGUGGCAAGCGUUGUCCGGAAUUAUUGGGCGUAAAGGGCUCGCAGGCGGUUUCUUAAGUCUGAUGUGAAAGCCCCCGGCUCAACCGGGGAGGGUCAUUGGAAACUGGGGAACUUGAGUGCAGAAGAGGAGAGUGGAAUUCCACGUGUAGCGGUGAAAUGCGUAGAGAUGUGGAGGAACACCAGUGGCGAGCGACUCUCUGGUCUGUAACUGACGCUGAGGAGCGAAAGCGUGGGGAGCGAACAGGAUUAGAUACCCUGGUAGUCCACGCCGUAAACGAUGAGUGCUAAGUGUUAGGGGGUUUCCGCCCCUUAGUGCUGCAGCUAACGCAUUAAGCACUCCGCCUGGGGAGUACGGUCGCAAGACUGAAACUCAAAGGAAUUGACGGGGGCCCGCACAAGCGGUGGAGCAUGUGGUUUAAUUCGAAGCAACGCGAAGAACCUUACCAGGUCUUGACAUCCUCUGACAAUCCUAGAGAUAGGACGUCCCCUUCGGGGGCAGAGUGACAGGUGGUGCAUGGUUGUCGUCAGCUCGUGUCGUGAGAUGUUGGGUUAAGUCCCGCAACGAGCGCAACCCUUGAUCUUAGUUGCCAGCAUUCAGUUGGGCACUCUAAGGUGACUGCCGGUGACAAACCGGAGGAAGGUGGGGAUGACGUCAAAUCAUCAUGCCCCUUAUGACCUGGGCUACACACGUGCUACAAUGGACAGAAC